Molecule: long non-coding RNA, 829 nt
Organism: Pan troglodytes (chimpanzee)
Lineage: Eukaryota; Metazoa; Chordata; Mammalia; Primates; Hominidae
Exons: 3
Source: RefSeq, a predicted model, not a curated record
CAAACAUGGGCCUCGGGGCAGCAGUUCUGGUGAAGGGGAAAGGAGAAGCCCCAGAAAGCUUCAUGGUCACGCCACGUAUGGGAUGCUCGGCAGCUGCCCUGGCUGGGAUCUAACAACAGGAAGCCAGCGGACCUCACGGGGCCAUUCCCAGGCUUAGAUUGAAGGGAUAGAGACAAGUUUUCACCAUGUUGGCCAGACUCCUCUCGAACUCCUGACCUUAGGCAAUCCGCCCACCUCAGCCUCCGAAAGUGCUGGGAUUACAGACGUGAGCCACCGCACCUGGCCCAAGGAUUCCUAUUUGGAUUGAAUAUCAAGGCUUGCUAGGAAAGACAGCCAACAAGUCACCAAGUUAAUAGAAGGACAAUGAUGCUUCCUUUGCUCCUCAAAAUCUUCCUUCGCUACUAAAAGAUCUAAGUUCGGGAAAACAAUUGGUACAGGAUGUGCAGCUUGAAGAAGCUGAGGGGAUGAAUAUACUAAAUAUGCCACGCUGUCUGCACCAUGCCAGGUAGUCUAGUAUGUAUUGGGUUCCAUUGAGACUGAUGCUACAUCGAAUCCUGAUGAUACAGUUCUCUGCGCCUGUCAACUCUGGUCUGUAGGAGAAUUGCCACAGUCUUAUGAAUAUAAGGCUGGGUUUGGAGGGGGUCAGUUGAAAUUUUAGGAGUUUUCAUAUGACUCUUACUCUUUUAGAUUUGCUAUCUGCAAUUGCAUAUCUGCCAGUGACCUCUGUCUGUUACUGAGGAAGGCUGCUGGCUUCUUUGCUGUAUAUCCUGAUCACACUGACUUCCUUCUGCAACUUCUAGAUAAGUAAAUUUUUUUGAUUUAUCAGGAA